Molecule: ribosomal RNA, 649 nt
Filed under: Shigella sonnei
Lineage: Bacteria; Pseudomonadati; Pseudomonadota; Gammaproteobacteria; Enterobacterales; Enterobacteriaceae
Description: partial 23S ribosomal RNA
Rfam family: Bacterial large subunit ribosomal RNA
Source: RNAcentral
GAGCGGACGGGGAGCAGCCCAGAGCCUGAAUCAGUGUGUGUGUUAGUGGAAGCGUCUGGAAAGGCGUGCGAUACAGGGUGACAGCCCCGUACACAAAAAUGCACAUAUUGUGAGCUUGAUGAGUAGGGCGGGACACGUGGUAUCCUGUCUGAAUAUGGGGGGACCAUCCUCCAAGGCUAAAUACUCCUGACUGACCGAUAGUGAACCAGUACCGUGAGGGAAAGGCGAAAAGAACCCCGGCGAGGGGAGUGAAAAAGAACCUGAAACCGUGUACGUACAAGCAGUGGGAGCACGCUUAGGCGUGUGACUGCGUACCUUUUGUAUAAUGGGUCAGCGACUUAUAUUCUGUAGCAAGGUUAACCGAAUAGGGGAGCCGAAGGGAAACCGAGUCUUAACUGGGCGUUAAGUUGCAGGGUAUAGACCCGAAACCCGGUGAUCUAGCCAUGGGCAGGUUGAAGGUUGGGUAACACUAACUGGAGGACCGAACCGACUAAUGUUGAAAAAUUAGCGGAUGACUUGUGGCUGGGGGUGAAAGGCCAAUCAAACCGGGAGAUAGCUGGUUCUCCCCGAAAGCUAUUUAGGUAGCGCCUCGUGAAUUCAUCUCCGGGGGUAGAGCACUGUUUCGGCAAGGGGGUCAUCCCGACUUACC